AAAAAGAUAAACCUUGGUUUCCGUAUCUAAUGUUUGACUGUUCGUCUUAUAUGAAUUUUUUUAUAAUUAGUAUUUUCAUUGUUGUUAGAUGAUAAAACAUAAUCAAUACUUUAUGCGUGACUUGUCUUUUUUAUUUUCUUAUAUUUUUUUCAAAUAAGACGGACGAUCAAACAUUGGAGACAA
Oryza sativa Japonica Group (Japanese rice) is the source of this 183-nucleotide microRNA precursor. It matches the Rfam family "MIR812 microRNA precursor family". The record is from Rfam. NCBI's taxonomy places the organism in Eukaryota, Viridiplantae, Streptophyta, Magnoliopsida, Poales, Poaceae.